RNAcentral lists this transfer RNA (73 nucleotides) under Mesocricetus auratus (golden hamster). It matches the Rfam family "tRNA". Rfam says of the family: Transfer RNA (tRNA) molecules are approximately 80 nucleotides in length. Their secondary structure includes four short double-helical elements and three loops (D, anti-codon, and T loops). Further hydrogen bonds mediate the characteristic L-shaped molecular structure. tRNAs have two regions of fundamental functional importance: the anti-codon, which is responsible for specific mRNA codon recognition, and the 3' end, to which the tRNAs corresponding amino acid is attached (by aminoacyl-tRNA synthetases). tRNAs cope with the degeneracy of the genetic code in two manners: having more than one tRNA (with a specific anti-codon) for a particular amino acid; and 'wobble' base-pairing, i.e. permitting non-standard base-pairing at the 3rd anti-codon position. The record is from Rfam by way of RNAcentral. Lineage: Eukaryota; Metazoa; Chordata; Mammalia; Rodentia; Cricetidae.
AGUGAUAUAGCUCAUUGGUAACAGAUUAUGGCUGUAAUGCAUGAAGUCAUGGGUUCAAUUUCCAGUAUCACAG